GGGCUGGUGGUCUAGCCUGGUAGGAUGUCUGCCUCACACGCAGGAGAACCCCGGUUCAAAUCCGGGCCAGCCCA
Molecule: transfer RNA, 74 nt
Filed under: Thermoproteota archaeon
Lineage: Archaea; Thermoproteati; Thermoproteota
Description: tRNA-Val
Rfam family: tRNA
About the family: Transfer RNA (tRNA) molecules are approximately 80 nucleotides in length. Their secondary structure includes four short double-helical elements and three loops (D, anti-codon, and T loops).
Source: RNAcentral